UACGAGAGGUGCAAGCGUUAUUCGGAAUUAUUGGGCGUACAGGGUGUGUAGACGGCGUAUUAAGUCAACUGUUAAAUACUCUGGCCUAACCAGAGACAUGCGGUAGAAACUGAUAUGCUAGAGGAUGGAAGAGAGAAGUGGAAUUCUCGGAGUAGCGGUAAAAUGCGUAGAUCUCGAGAGGAACACCGAUGGCGAAGGCAGCUUCUUGGUCCAUUCCUGACGUUGAAACACGAAAGCGUGGGGAGCAAACAGG
This 253-nucleotide ribosomal RNA is filed under the name uncultured bacterium. Its description in RNAcentral is "partial 16S ribosomal RNA". It matches the Rfam family "Bacterial small subunit ribosomal RNA", at positions 524 to 776 of the family's 1533-position model. The record is from RNAcentral.